GAAUGUCGUGCUUGUGAUGGCGUACGGGAGUCUGGUAUUCAUACUGCUGUUUAUUUUUGUGAAGAGACAAAUCAUGCGCUUUGCAAUGAAAUCUAGAAGGGGACCUCAUGUUCCUGUGGGACACAAUGCCCCCAAGGACUUAAAAGAGGAGAUUGAUAUUCGACUAUCCAGGGUUCAAGAUAUCAAGUAUGAACCCCAGCUCCUUGCAGAUGAUGAUACCAGACUACUGCAGCUGGAAACCCAGGGGAAUCAAAGUUGCUACAACUAUCUAUACAGGAUAAAAGCUCUAGAUGCCAUCCGUGCCUCUGAGAUCCUGUUUCAUGCUGAAGGCCGGCACCCCUGUUCUUUAAUGGGUAAGAAUUUCCACUCCUACUUGUUAGAGCUGCGAAACACUACCACUCCUUUCAAGGGUGUUCGAAAGGCCCUCAUUGAUACCCUCCUGGAUGGAUAUGAGACAGCCCGCUAUGGGACAGGGGUCUUUGGCCAGAGUGAGUACUUGCGAUAUCAGGAGGCCUUGAGUGAGCUGGCCACUGUGGUCAAAGCACGAAUUGGGAGUUCUCAGAGACAACACCAGUCAGCAGCCAAAGACCUAACUCAGUCACCUGAAAUGUCACCAACCACAAUCCAGGUCACAUACCUGCCUUCCAGUCAGAAGAGCAAACACCCUAAGCACUUCCUCGAACUGAAGAGCUUUAAAGACAACUAUAACACCCUGGAGAGCACGCUGUGACGGAUCUGCACACAUGCCAGCUUGUGGCGCUCAGAAUAUCUGGUUCAGCAGACCCAAACUUUAUUGGCCAAAGCAUUCUUACAGAAUAGUAUCUAAAAGGUCAUUCCCAACCUUUUCUGAUACUGGCUAAGACCUCAGUCUCAGUAUCUCCCAGUAGCACUUC
Molecule: RNA transcript, 893 nt
Organism: Mastomys coucha (southern multimammate mouse)
Lineage: Eukaryota; Metazoa; Chordata; Mammalia; Rodentia; Muridae
Exons: 1
Source: RefSeq, a predicted model, not a curated record